RNAcentral lists this ribosomal RNA (216 nucleotides) under Glomeromycotina sp. RNAcentral's name for it is "partial small subunit ribosomal RNA". The stretch from base 75 to 216 matches the Rfam family "Eukaryotic small subunit ribosomal RNA", at positions 721 to 864 of the family's 1831-position model. Lineage: Eukaryota; Fungi; Glomeromycota. The record is from RNAcentral.
GGGUCAGUAGGUUGGUCGUGCCACCGGUACGUACUGGUCUCACUGACUCCUCCUUCCUGAAGAACCGUAAUGCCAUUAAUUUGGUGUUGCGGGGAAACAGGACUGUUACUUUGAAAAAAUUAGAGUGUUUAAAGCAAGCUAACGCUUGAAUACAUUAGCAUGGAAUAAUGAAAUAGGGCGAUCGAUCCUAUUUUGUUGGUUUCUAGGAUUGACGUA